GUGGUCAACUUUUUCUUAAAAAACACCCCCGUGCGUAGGAUGGCCCGGCGUCCGGGUCCGCAACUGCGUCCCCGGGCCGCGUGCGUCCUCAUGCCCUCCCGGCGCUGCCCCUCCUUCCCUGGGCCGCCCUCCACCGUAACACGUGCCGGAUCCGGGAACAUUGGCCUCCGCCACCCCGCCCAGCACCGGAUCCAGCCACCGGAGGCGGCAGCAUGGC
Molecule: long non-coding RNA, 217 nt
Filed under: Hordeum vulgare
Lineage: Eukaryota; Viridiplantae; Streptophyta; Magnoliopsida; Poales; Poaceae
Description: long non-coding RNA (HVUL_LNC005934)
Source: RNAcentral